Gorilla gorilla gorilla (western lowland gorilla) is the source of this 2082-nucleotide long non-coding RNA. RefSeq lists it as uncharacterized. The record is from RefSeq and is a predicted model, not a curated record. Lineage: Eukaryota; Metazoa; Chordata; Mammalia; Primates; Hominidae. The transcript is spliced from 3 exons.
GAAAGCUUAUGAUAUCUCCUGGUCUGGUAUUAAGAGGCCAGGCUGGAAAAGGAAGGCACCAUUUCCAUCAUAUUCUUCUGGAGAGAACUUAGUCUCAUCUUCUUCACAGAAGAUGGGGAAAGGUGGCCCAGCUGGUCAGCCCUGUGCCUGGCUGCAUUUCUGUUACUAUGGAAGGAGGGAAAAAGGAAAGCCAGCAGUGCAUGUCACCCUUACAUAAGCUCCCUCCAUCAGGAAACUUAAGACCAACUCCAUUUGAUCUGAUCAGAGGACGUCUAUAAGGACCAACACAGUGUCACAUUCAAAAGCAUCUUUCUCCCCCUCCAAUCAACCAGUGUCCUGGGGCCUUCUUACCUCUGGAAUAGAAUCCAUGAAACUGAAAAUGGUUCGACAAAUGGAGCCCCAAAUGAUCACCACUAGCACCUACUAUCGAGGACCCCUAGACUGACCCGCCAACCCAUUCUUGCACUACGACACUGAAGACUCCCCUCCGGAGGAAACCUCAACUGCAGUUCAGCAGGAACUGCAGUUCCUUCUACCCCUUCUACCCUUCUACCCCGCAGUUCAGCAGGAAGUAGCUAGAACGAUCGUCGCCCAACUUCCAAACAGCACUUGGGCUUUCCUGUUGACAGAGGGGACUGAGGGACUAAGUGGCUAAGUUGGCUGGACUCCUUGGGUCAAUAGGGACUUCCCUAAGGGGACGUUACCUAAGCCAAAAUAAAUCAUAGCUGCAAGAGCCAAAAUAAAUCAUAGCUGCAAGCAAAGGAAUUAAAACUUCAACCAAUCAAAGGGGACUUUCCCCUAAGCCAAAAUGAGUCAAAGCUGCAAGCUAAGGGAUUGAAAUUUCAACCAAUUAUACAGGGAGUUUAAGCUCUAACUGCAGCCUGAUGUUUUUAACCAAUCAGGCCCGCCAACCUGUGGAUAGAAAAUAAGCUAAUUCUAUAGGACAAAAAGAGGAAAGGGGAGGGGUCAUAAGGGGAUAUAAGCAUAAGACACCCAAGCCACAAACAGCAUCCCUUCUGGGUCCCCUUCCACCGCGUGGAAGCUUUACUUUCACUUUCGCUUUAAUAAAUCUUGCCACUGCACCAAAAAAUAAAAAAAUAAAAAUAAAGUAAGAUGGUGAAAUAAUGAAAAUUCACAAAACCAAGGCAGAAAGAGUUGUAAGAAAAUAAGAAAAAGUGUUUGCUAUAAAUAUGGCUGCAUAUCGAAAGUUUAAUAUCUAAAGUAUAUUGCUUUUAUUCAAACCAGGCUGCCAGUGGGACCAAGACACACACAGACAGUUCAUACACCAGGAAAACCAACAUAAAACCAACAGGCAAAACACUAAACCUCGGAAGUUAAUUAAAGAAAUUCAAAUGGAAACAAUUGUAAGGGGCCAUUUAACACAUACCAGAUAAACAAGUAUAAGAAUAAAUGAUAAAAUCCAGUACUAGUGAGACUGUUGUGAAAUGGUUGCUGGUAAAAAUGUAAAUUGGUUGUUUUUUGGAGUGAAGAGCCACAAGAAUAAUCAUACCAGAAAAUAUAGCCUAUAUGAGCAAUUCAUAAAAAGAACAAAACACAAUUAUAAAAAUAUUUAUAGCUGAAUUAUUUAUAAUAGCUAAAAGUGAAAUUACCAAAAUACUCAAUAUUAGAGAAAUAAUAAAACAAAUAAUGUGAUAUAAACCUAAUAUUCAUUCAUUAGAAAUGAAAACAUGAAGAUUCUGCAAGCAAAGGGAAAUGUGAGCUGCAUGGAAGUGUUAGGGGCAAAAGUACCGGAUUUGGAGUCAAAAGAUCUAAAAUUAAGUAACCUUUGGCUAAGGAUUCAACCUCUCUGAACUUUGUUCAUCUUCUAAAACAGCAGUUUUCCACCAAUACACAGCAGUUUUCAAAUGUUUUGGCCACUACCUAAAAAUGUUUAAUUUUUUCUUCUUUUGUCGUAAGAGCACUUAACGUAAAAUCUAUCCUCUUAGCAAAUUUUCAGUAUUGUCAGCAUUGGCAAUCAUAUGUCCUAUGCUGGGUAGGAAUGUCCAGAACUUAUUUAUCUUGCAUGACUGAAACUUUGUACCCUUUGACCAACCCUUUUUCUCCACCACCCCCCCCCCCCCC